ACUAUACUUUGACAUUUUCUGAACUACAUCCUAUACUAUGGUGUUAUACACAGAGUGCUUUGGUUACAUGUUGAUUUAUAAUCUAGAUUUUUUUCCUGUUUUGUUUUUGAUGGGAUUACCACAGACCUGACCAUGAACACCGUUGACACCCACCUGAGGGAGACGCUGCCUAAGAUCUCAAGGCUGCUUGGUCAUGGUCUUUCUGCUCCACAACAUCUUCAUCAACUACGUCUUCUUUUGAAGAGGCCCUCAGAUGCUGCAAUCUCUGACCUGAAGGAGGAACUGCUACUUUCACUCUGUAAUGAGACAGCGGUUAUUUAAAGACCCAGCUCCUGGCGACUUUGAGUGAAAAUUUAACAUCUAUCAAAACGGAACUGCAGACAGUUAAAUCUGAGCUGUUAGUCAGUAUUUCAAACAUCAAGUCAAACCUGGGUGCCCUAAAGCACGCUGUGGGUGAAACGGAAACUUCAGUCUCCACAUCACUGAUGGAUGCUAAAUCUCUUCUCUGGUCAAAACACACAGAAAUAAACUCCAGCGACAUCUGUAGUGCAUGGCACACAUUAUAUCUGACACUAUUGCUGCAUAUGAAGUGCAUUAAAAGCGGCAUCGAUAAGAAAAUGAACACUUACCGAACUAUCAGAGUCCUUUCAGUGUCUGCUGGUAGGAUCAGCCGAAGGGAGAAAACUGAUUAAAACAAGCCAACAGGCAGAAAAAAAUAUUUGUGGAAGACGUUCUGCUGCUCCACCGAUAAGUAAACCAACAGUGAUCAUAUCAGAGUUAAUCCAAACGAGAAAAGCAGAGUCACGGCUGUCUCCUCCAUAGGACCUGUCAAUUGACCCUUCGCUAAACCCUGCCCCCCUUGGUUACUGUUGCUACGCCUGUCAAGCUUUCCCUCCUAGCAUGAAAUAUGGAGUUUUUAGCGGUACCGGUGAGUGAUAUUUCUCAGGAGAUAUGUGCAAAUUUCUGGACAUAUUCUACAGCGAUAUCAGAGAGAAGCAGACAGAAGGGUCUCCAAUAUGCUUUUGAAAACUACAUUCACCAAAUUAGAUGUUGGCGGAGUGCAAAUGACGUGGACGUUAAAAUCGAGGGAAAAGCGCACAGAUCUCAGUGUAAGCACCAAACACCCCAUGUAUUGUCACUUCACGUCAAAAAUAAUCAUUUACAAGAACAACAAUGUUCUUUUACAGCAGGGUAAGCCGAUAUGUAUUAUAUACAGCCAUGGCCAUAAGUUUGGACACAGCAUGACUUACUAUGUCUGUUUUGAUGUCUAUUACAGAACAUAACUAACAUUUUUUGACAGCACCAGUUUAAUUAGUCAACAAAUGAACAAGGGAUAUAAUAUUAUCAAUAAAUUCCAACAAUUGGAACAACUUUGUUCCCAAAACAUAAUAUUAGAAGAAAAUAACAAAAAAAUGCAAUACUUUCACAACCGAAUUUGGUAAGAAUAACAAAAUGACACCAAACUCUUUUGAUGUUUUUUUUAAAUAUGAAACUUAAUAUAGUUCUCAGGAGUUGUGUACUGUAUUGUAAGUGACAAUUUUGUGGUAUUUUCUAAGAUUCACAAGCGUCAUGGUACUUGUGUCCAAACUUAUGGCCAUGGCUGUACAUUUAAAUUAAUGUUAUGUCAACUGUCAUUAUCAUGUCUGCCCAUUUCUUGCUAAGCUAAAUUUGUGUUUGUUUACUGCGCACCAGGAUCUCCAACCGAUCUCAUCUGUUGUUGUCACCAAAGCCAGACGUGAGCGUAGGCGGAGACCCGUAGAUUGCUAGUAUAUAUAUAUGCUACACUAGUAUGUCAGAAGUUGUCUCUAUAUAUCACCAGUAUUUAUUUUGCUCAAAUAAUACACAGUAGCUCAAGUUUUAAGAGAAGUAACCUUCCAUUGAGACGUCUUUCUUUGCUAAUGUUAUCUGACCUAACACACAGAGCUACGGUUAGCUAAUGUUAGCUAGCAACUUACCUUAGAACAGACGUGGGUGUUCUUAUUGAUUUUGGAGGGAUUCAGCUGAUCAUGCGGUCUCUCACACUGCUUAAUCCACACGCUGCACCUUUCUUCUUGUGUCUUUGGCGUGGGGAAUGCAAAAAAAUCAACAUCACCCUCCAAGCUUUGCAGAUAACGGGUGUCGGACCUGCAAGUAGAAUUCAGAAAAUCCAUUUUUUGCCUUGGUGUUUUUUUUUUUUUUUUAAUCUGCUGAAAGAUAUAAGCGAAAAAAGCAGUCCAUGCCAUUGCUGAGCAUUUCUGCCAUGAAAUAGCAUUGCAUCGGAGACAAAAACACAAAGCUAGACUUCCAUGGUUUCAACAAAUUUAGCCAAAGACUGGAGGCUUUAACAGAAGAAUCUUCUCUUCUACAACCUCAUGUUACCUGACUACUAUAUAUCCCUCAAUGGUGGAUAAUUACCUCCGCCAAGGAGGUUAUGUGACACCCGGCGUUUGUGUGUCCGUCCGUCCGUCUGUUAGCAAGAUAACUCAAAAAUGCCUGGGCAGAUUCACAUGAAAUUUUUGAGAGGACGUAAACUAUGGUAAGAGGAAGAGCUGAUUUAAUUUAGGUGGCAAUCCGGAAAGGAUCCUGGAUUCUGGAUCACUUUGAAUUUUUUAGUAUGUUUUAGUAUGUGGUCACCACAUCUGCUGAAAGAUAUAAGCGAAAAAAGCAGUCAAUGCCAUUAGUGAGCAUUUCUGCCAUAAAAUAGCAUUGCAUCGGAGACAAAAACACAAUGCCAGACUUCCAAGGUUUCAACAAAUUUUAAUCAAAUAAUUUUUAAAAUUGAAAUUUUAAAAAUAUAUAAUAAAAUAUAUAUGACAUAUAUGACAACAGAUGAUUUUCCUUGACCCAGUCGGAAUCCACGGAGGACCAGGAGCAGACCAAGGAGCCAGACGAGUCAGGUAACCAAAAGCAAGCCGAGGUCAGCAUGGAGGGACAAAGACAGUCCGGCAUCAAACAACGACUGAAGACGGUUCUUAUAGGACACCAGGACCUGAUUAGCUGGCCUCCACCUGCACAUGAUCUGCUGAUGACAGAUGACACAAACCUGGACUCCUCAUCAGCACAGCACACACCUGCAAAGAGAGAGUGAGCAAGGCAGAGGGGGGAGAGAGCCCUGCCACAGCUCACAGCCUAAGCUGUGGCUGUAAAAAAACAUGUGACUUUGCAUGUUUUAACACCUUGUUUUGCAAAGAAAUUAACACAUUCUUGCCAUCUGCAGAUUACACUUCAAAGAAAAGAGCCUUUGUUUGUCACGCUGAGAUAAACCGGAAUAAAAUGUUCCCUCUCCAGACUUUUCAUCAGAGCCUGGAAGUUGCCUGAUCUCAGACCAGCUCUGUGUCCCAGCAGGGCCAUACAUUCAUCAUGCCCGCUUGCCUGUAGUGGGAAAAUAAAAUAUAUAUAAAUGUAAGUAAACGGAGUGCAAGAUCUCCCUGGUCGUUAGAGUGCUUUGAAUUUCAUUAUGCAACAAGCUGUCCGGCCGUUAUAAAGGAGGCCCGUGAAAAAGAAGUGAUCGCUGGAUGUGAUGAGGAUGAAAUGCAAUAAUUUACACCAUCAUGAAUCUGAUUGUAACGUCCACAUUAUUAGAAAGGCCGAUAAGAGCAUUUAUGACUAUUUCCUUAGUGUUGUAAAGGGAAGUGGGUGGUUUGAUUAAUAGGAGCAGCUGGCCGGCUCCAGGUUCAGCACAUUCUGAUGUUGCAUAUAACUUACAGAGGUGGUAAUGGGCCAGUUUAUAUACUAAAAUGUCAUCUGUCACACAUGUGAGAUAAGCAGAAUUCUGACUAACACAUUCUGCAUUUCCCCCAAGUGCUGCAUUUGAUAUGCACGCUGUGUAAAUGUGGGUGAGUAAUGCUUUUGUUUUCACCAAAGAAAUAUUCACCCAGGUGACAAGAUGCUAUCUGCUAAUGUGGUUUAUACAAAAGUGUAAAACUAGUUGGUUUCCUCAUUCAAAUAAACAUAUAUAUCUUGCUCAGA
This is a long non-coding RNA of Acanthochromis polyacanthus (spiny chromis), 3948 nucleotides long. RefSeq lists it as uncharacterized. NCBI's taxonomy places the organism in Eukaryota, Metazoa, Chordata, Actinopteri, Pomacentridae. The record is from RefSeq and is a predicted model, not a curated record. The transcript has 2 exons.